AUUGAACGCUGGCGGCAGGCUUAACACAUGCAAGUCGAGCGGGGUGAUGGUGCUUGCACUAUCACUUAGCGGCGGACGGGUGAGUAAUGCUUAGGAAUCUGCCUAUUAGUGGGGGACAACAUCUCGAAAGGGAUGCUAAUACCGCAUACGUCCUACGGGAGAAAGCAGGGGAUCACUUGUGACCUUGCGCUAAUAGAUGAGCCUAAGUCGGAUUAGCUAGUUGGUGGGGUAAAGGCCUACCAAGGCGACGAUCUGUAGCGGGUCUGAGCGGAUGAUCCGACAAACUUGGACUGAGACACGGCCCAGACUCCUACGGGAGGCAGCAGUAGGGAAUAUUGGACAAUGGGGGGAACCCUGAUCCAGCCAUGCCGCGUGUGUGAAGAAGGCCUUAUGGUUGUAAAGCACUUUAAGCGAGGAGGAGGCUCUUUUGGUUAAUACCCAAGAUGAGUGGACGUUACUCGCAGAAUAAGCACCGGCUAACUCUGUGCCAGCCGCCGCCGUAA
RNAcentral lists this ribosomal RNA (503 nucleotides) under uncultured bacterium. RNAcentral's name for it is "partial 16S ribosomal RNA". It matches the Rfam family "Bacterial small subunit ribosomal RNA", at positions 30 to 523 of the family's 1533-position model. The record is from RNAcentral.